Rhipicephalus sanguineus (brown dog tick) is the source of this 433-nucleotide long non-coding RNA. RefSeq lists it as uncharacterized. The transcript is spliced from 3 exons. Lineage: Eukaryota; Metazoa; Arthropoda; Arachnida; Ixodida; Ixodidae. The record is from RefSeq and is a predicted model, not a curated record.
AGAAAGGGCAACUAUACAAAAGGGUUGCCUGGAAACUACAUCACGGAAGAAACGAUAUGCAAGUCGGCAUUUCCACUUGUGCAGGAUACGUACCUCAUCAAGAAUCAAGGCAGGCUCGACUGCCAAGGACGUUGCUACAUGCCGCAGCACGUUUAUAGCGUAGGAUACAAGAUAGCGCUUUUCCCGGACAAGUAUCCGUGCCAGGGCAAAAUGGUCUGUAUAAACGGAGAAUGCGUGGAGAAAGCGCCGAAGUAUUCAAUAUAUCAUGCCUCAAAAUAAAGCCAAAAAUAACCGCUUCAUUGAUAUACGCCGCAGCAAAGAGCAUGUUAUCGAACAUUUUUAAUGUACCUAUGAAUAAGAAUGUAAUCAUAAAAAAAUGUUUUACAACAAGAACCAUACAGGAGGUAACGGUUGCUAUUAAUUGGAGGGACGU